ACUAAUUGCAGACUUCUUACAGGACUCAUGCAUCUUAAAGGAUACCUCUUGGCUCAAAGAGUUGUGUACAGUUUUAAAAUUAUUUCUUGGACUUUUGGGGAAAGAAUCAUAGAAUAGAGGUUCUGAGAAUGGAGGCAACUCCUCUUCACAUUUAAUAUUGGAUGUUUAAAAUGGUGUUCAACUCAGAAUAUUAACAUGGUUAAACUAAAAUCUUCAAAGCAAUUAUAACAAUAAAAUAAAUCUAAACAGGAAUUAUGUCUUCAUGUAUCUGUGUGUUUCAUAUUCACAUAAAAUGAUAUUGACAAUUUAGGUUUAUUUCAGCUAACAUUAUCUCCUUCUGGGUCAAGUACAAAGAUGCAGUAUGAUUCAUAUGAUUACUCCAAAAACACAACAGCAAUAAAACGAUUUAAAGUCAUUAUCAAAAAGCAAGCAUGACACUAUUUGCAUAUGGCGCUGUGCUAGGCUUUCUGCUCAACUGGGGUUCUUUUGAACAUUGGAAUAGUUGGAAUUCCGUCACUCACCUGGAGAAAUUUCAAUCAGUACAGGAAUUUGCUAUUAGGAAAGCUUUGUUGGCAGUAAUCUUAAUCUGAAGGACUCUGCCCACUGCAUUUAAUUUUGUUUGAUAGUGUAAUAUUAAAGUAAAUCAAAAAUUAUUCAAGAGAAUCAUUAGUUCUUCUUACCCAAAUCUUCAAACCGGAAGGGUGCUACUAGUUUUCUCCCUUGCAGGCCUCUGUGUCGGAUAAUGCAGUCCACCGUUGAAUUUUUGCCAUAAGUGUGGAUUAUGAGAGUGCUGGUAGUAUUACAUUUCUUCCCAUCAGUUUCAAAUUCAUGGAGCGUUCCACCUAUGUAGCAAUUUGAAGAGGUUAUGGCUAUUUAAUGCUACUGGAUGAGGUUGGUUCUAUUAGAGGCCAAUGGCCUUGACUUCAUGGCAAACAUUAGAUUUCUAACCUCAUUCUAACCUCAGCCAGUUCCCUUGUAUAGGCUUGGUUCUGGUCACAAAGGCAAACAGAUGAAUGAGAGUAGAUGAUGGUUUUCUACAAACUUUUCACUACUGGAAAAAAAAAUUCAAAGCUUAAGAAGGACAGCUUGAUGUUGUUAUGAAACACAAAGAUCCAAGACCUUAUUCUGGUUAUAUGAAUAAGGCGAAUUAAAGGGAAGUCUUAUAAUGAAGUAGAAUUGGCACUGCCCUGGGAAUCAGAUCUGGGUUUAGGUCUUUUCUCUCUAGAACUCCAUUUGGCCCUCAGUGUUCUCAACUGUAAAGGGUCCUUUGCAACUCUAAGAAUGUUGAUUACAGGCCGGGCGCAGUGGCUCACGCCUGUAAUCCCAGCACUCUGGGAGGCCGAGGCAGUUGGAACACCUGAGGUCAGGGGUUCGAGACCAGCCUGGCCAACAUGGUGAAACCCUGUCUCUACUAAAAAUACAAAAAUUAGCUGGGUGUUGUGGCAUGCACCUGUAAUCCCAGCUACUCCAGAAGCUGAGGUAGAAGAAUCGUUUCAACCCAGGAGGCAGAGGUUGCAGUGAGUCAAGAUCGUGCCACUGCACUGGGAGACAGAGUGAGACUCCAUCUCAAAAAAAAAAGAUGGUUGAUUACAUAGAUAUCAAAGGUAAUGUCUGUUGAAAUGUAAG
RNAcentral lists this long non-coding RNA (1626 nucleotides) under Homo sapiens (human). RNAcentral describes it as "non-protein coding lnc-BSX-3:1". Lineage: Eukaryota; Metazoa; Chordata; Mammalia; Primates; Hominidae. The record is from RNAcentral.